UACGUAGGGUGCGAGCGUUAAUCGGAAUUACUGGGCGUAAAGCGUGCGCAGGCGGUUCGCCAAGUCAGGUGUGAAAUCCCCGGGCUUAACCUGGGAAUUGCGCUUGAAACUAGCGGGCUUGAGUGCGGCAGAGGGGGGUGGAAUUCCACGUGUAGCAGUGAAAUGCGUAGAGAUGUGGAGGAACACCGAUGGCGAAGGCAGCCCCCUGGGUUAACACUGACGCUCAGGCACGAAAGCGUGGGGAGCAAACAGG
RNAcentral lists this ribosomal RNA (253 nucleotides) under uncultured bacterium. RNAcentral describes it as "partial 16S ribosomal RNA". It matches the Rfam family "Bacterial small subunit ribosomal RNA", at positions 524 to 776 of the family's 1533-position model. The record is from RNAcentral.